UACGUAGGGUGCGAGCGUUGUCCGGAAUUAUUGGGCGUAAAGAGCUCGUAGGCGGCCUGUCGCGUCGGUUGUGAAAGCCCGGGGCUUAACCCCGGGUCUGCAGUCGAUACGGGCAGGCUAGAGUUCGGUAGGGGAGAUCGGAAUUCCUGGUGUAGCGGUGAAAUGCGCAGAUAUCAGGAGGAACACCGGUGGCGAAGGCGGAUCUCUGGGCCGAUACUGACGCUGAGGAACGAAAGCGUGGGGAGCGAACAGG
This 253-nucleotide ribosomal RNA is filed under the name uncultured bacterium. Its description in RNAcentral is "partial 16S ribosomal RNA". It matches the Rfam family "Bacterial small subunit ribosomal RNA", at positions 524 to 776 of the family's 1533-position model. The record is from RNAcentral.